UCUCGAAAGCCUGUCCCAGUUCGGACUGGAGUCUGNAACCCGACUCCACGAAGUUGGAUUCGCUAGUAAUCGCGCAUCAGCCAUGGCGCGGUGAAUACGUUCCCGGGCCUUGUACACACCGCCCGUCAAGCCAUGGGAGCCGGGGGCGCCUGAAGUCCGGGACCGCGAGGACCGGCCUAGGGCGAAACUGGUAACUGGGGCUAAGUCGUAACAAGGUAAC
This 220-nucleotide ribosomal RNA is filed under the name uncultured bacterium. RNAcentral's name for it is "partial 16S ribosomal RNA". It matches the Rfam family "Bacterial small subunit ribosomal RNA", at positions 1273 to 1500 of the family's 1533-position model. The record is from RNAcentral.